UGGUUCCUAACAUCCUCCACUGUGAUGUCCUGGCGGGUCCCUGAGGCACACGCUGGGGACGAACAGAAGCGUGAUUUCCAAACCUCCACGCGUCAUCUCCUGUUCUGGGGCCUGAACAGGUGACACGUGUGCAGACGCCCGGGAUGACAGCUGGAGUGGGAACAGCCUGGGAUGCCUCCCGCGGGGGACAGCGUCAUUAUCACACCAAGGGCUGGCUGAGAGGGAGCAGACGUUCAUUACCAGGCCCGGUGUGAAGACCAUGUUGCUUUGGAAAA
Bubalus bubalis (water buffalo) is the source of this 275-nucleotide long non-coding RNA. RefSeq lists it as uncharacterized. The transcript has 2 exons. The record is from RefSeq and is a predicted model, not a curated record. NCBI's taxonomy places the organism in Eukaryota, Metazoa, Chordata, Mammalia, Artiodactyla, Bovidae.